AAUUCUCAAUGCACUGCCUUGUGCUCUGCUUUGGAUUUGAAGAUUGCUGGCUUAAACCAGAGUCAGCUUCUUUGAAAUGCAUUAGUAGGAUCAUCAUGCUGGAUCGAUACAGGUGUGAUAAAUUAUCACCAUCUGAGAUUAGGCAAAAGAACCUGCUCAUAACAAACACCCCUUUUGACA
This 180-nucleotide unclassified non-coding RNA is filed under the name uncultured fungus. RNAcentral's name for it is "sequence contains ITS2". The record is from RNAcentral. Lineage: Eukaryota; Fungi.